RNAcentral lists this ribosomal RNA (2708 nucleotides) under Ambystoma mexicanum (axolotl). Its description in RNAcentral is "eukaryotic LSU rRNA". It matches the Rfam family "Eukaryotic large subunit ribosomal RNA". Lineage: Eukaryota; Metazoa; Chordata; Amphibia; Caudata; Ambystomatidae. The record is from RNAcentral.
CUACGGCUUCAGAUCAGCCGUGGCAACCUGUUAAAUAUAAGCACCUUGCUAAAUUGAGGUAAAUAAACUAACCAGUAUUUCAUCAGUAACGGCGAGUGAAGAGUCCAGUGCUGAUUCCACAUCCAAUGGCAGGUGCAGGAAAUGUGGCAUACAGAAGACCGACUCCCUAGCGUUUCUUGCAGGGCCCAAGUCAUUCUGUUUGGGGCCCUCCUUCCAGAUGGUGUUUGGCUUGUAGCGGCUUCUGCCCACCAUGAUCAGUUCUUCUCUGAGUCGGGUUGCUUGGGAAUGCUACCGAAAGCGUGUGGUAAACUCUAUCUCAGGCUAGGUAUGGGCCUGAACCGAUAGCCAACAAGUACCAUAAUGGAAAGUUGAAAUGUACUUUAGAAAGAGAGUUCAAGAGGGUGUGAAACUAUCGAGAGGUAAACGGGAGGGGUCAGUGUAGUCCGACCAGAGGAUUCAACACAGUGGGCAGAUUGGUCACCCAGAAACAGCAGAACCCCUUGUGGGAUAUCCACCAGGGUAUAUCUCCUCUGUGGCGGUGAACCUCAAACGGCUCUGGAUUGGUUGGAAUACCCUAGGGGGCAGGUGGAUCUUGGCUCCAGCAGAGAGUAUUACAGCUCCCUGACUGCAGUUUUGUAAUGUCCAGGGGGCUGAGGAGAUUGAACACUGGUGUGCCCUCCUGUGGCAACCAUCCUAGCCCUCUCUGGGUCACUGGGGCAGAGAUGGGGGAUGGCACCCCCUGCUCCCAGGCAACUGUCGACUGGGGUGGAUUGCCCUCAGUGUGCCCUGACCGCAUUGUGCCACUAGGUGGGAAGGCCCAUGAAGGGUUCCAGGGGUAUGCAGUGACGUUGGUUACCCACCCUACCCGUCUUGAAACACAGACCAAGGAGUCUAUCACUUGCACAAGUCAGAGAGCCAAACACAUCCAUGUGCACAAUGACAGAGAGUCCCGAGCACAUUGGUUGAGGUGGGAUCCAGUUGCGCUGUGCACAGCACCGGCACCUCUCACCCGCUCAAUAGGGCAAGUGGAGCAUGAGCUUGUGUGAUUGGACCUGAAAGAUGGUGAUCUAUACAUAGGCAGGGCAAAGCCAUAGGAACUCUGCUGGAGGUCCGUAGCGAUACUGACAUGCAAACCAGUCAUCUGACCUGGGAAUAGGGGCUGAUGACUAAUUGAACCAUGUAGCAGAUGGUUCCCUCCAAAGUUUCUCUCUGUAUAGCCGACACUCGGAUUCCCCAGUUUUAUUCGGUAAAGCGAAUGAUUAGAUGUAUUGGGGCCAAAACUAACUCAACCUAUUCUCAAACUUUAUAUAUCAGUGAGGAUCCUGGCUCGCUGGCAUGAAGCCAGGCAUCAAAUGCCAGUGUCUAGUGUGCCACCUUUGGUAUGCAGAACUGGCAAUGCAGGAUGAACCAAAUGCCAAGUUAAGGAGCAAAAUGCUGAUGCUCAUCAGACUCUAGAAAAUGUGUUGGUUGAUACAGAUAGCAGAACGGUGGCCAUGGAAGUCAGAAUAUGCUAUGGAGCAUGUAGAAAAAUGCACACGCCAAAUCAAAUAGCCCUUGCAAUGGAUUAUGUUGGAGCAUCAGGCCCAUACCCAGCACCUCCAGCGCGGAGAGCCGCCACAGGUUCAGAUCUUGGUGGUAGUAGCAAAUAACCAAACAAGAACUUUGAAUGCCAUAGUGGAUGAGUGUACCAUGUGAACAGCUGUUGAACAUGGGUCAGUUGUUCCUAAAAAAUGUGUGCAUGCCUUUCAGAAGGGACAGGCAAUGGCUUCUGUUGCCCUCAGCCGAUUGAAAGGGAGUCAGGUUCAGAUUCUCGAAACCAGAGGCACAGAGGCAGCGCCCUCGCAACAUCCACUGCAGCCUCUAAAGGGAGAGAUCUAAUUUAUUUGUGAAGGGCACAGCACCCUGGAAUUGGUUUACCCCAAAAUAGGGUCCUGAGCCUUGCAAAGCAUUGCGGUUCUGUCCAGGCACAACCCACUCCUGGGAGAUUGGAAUGUAGGGAGCUUGACUGGGACAGUACACCUGUCAAAUGAUAAUGCAGGUGUCGUACGGAAACCUCCCACAGAGCUGAAGGGCAAUAGCUUGCUUGAUCUAUAUUUUUGGGUUUCAAGCAGGAUCUGUCAGAAUAUUACCACAGGGAUAGCUGUCAUGUGGCAGCAAAAUGUUCAAGCGAGGUCGUGUUUUGAUCCUUCCAUGUCUGCUUUCAAAUCAUUGUGAAGCAAAAUUCACCAAACAUUGAUUGUUCACCCACUAAUGGGGAACUUGAGCUGGGUUUAGUCUGUUGUGUGACCGGUUAGUUUUACCCUACUGAUGAUGUGUUGUUGCAAUAGUAAUCCUGCUCAGAAACCACAUGUUCAGACACCUGGUGUAUGUGCUUGGCUGAGGAGCCAAUGGGGAGAAGCCGCCAUGUGUGGGCUUAUGACUGAGCGCAUCUAAAUCAGAAUCCCCUAAACCUUAACGUACCUCAGCACUGUGGAACCUCGGUUGACGUAGGAUAGCCUGCCUCUGCAGCAACUUGUAGAGCUGCUUGCCUCAGGACUCGAGUGUGGACAGAAGCCGGCAACCUCUCUUGCUCGUAUUGCACCACAUUUUCAUGCGUAACGUUGUGCAAAAUCAUUUGUAGAUGACCCGAUUCUGUGUCAGGGUUUCGUAAGUAGCAGAGCAGCUACCUUGCUGUGAUCUAUUGGAAGUCAUCCUCUGAAACAAGGUUU